GCAGCUUAGUGGUAUAGCAUCUGCCUGGCAUGCAGAAGGUCCCUGGUUCGAUCCUCGGCAUCUCCA
Molecule: non-coding RNA, 66 nt
Organism: Podarcis lilfordi (Lilford's wall lizard)
Lineage: Eukaryota; Metazoa; Chordata; Lepidosauria; Squamata; Lacertidae
Source: the annotation of a GenBank genome assembly